Molecule: long non-coding RNA, 912 nt
Filed under: Nicotiana tabacum (common tobacco)
Lineage: Eukaryota; Viridiplantae; Streptophyta; Magnoliopsida; Solanales; Solanaceae
Description: long non-coding RNA (NTAB_LNC003637)
Source: RNAcentral
UUCUACAUGCACUUCUGUUGGGGAACUAUUCAUGUUUGGUUUCUUUGAUGAUUUUUCUCCUUCCUCUUCCUUCAUUAUUUUUCAUUCUCCUCUUCAUUUUCUGUUACUUCUUUUCAUUUCUCAAGUGUUUCAUGUCGGUAAAUUCUUUUACUUUAUAGUUUAAUUAAGCGUUUAAGAUUUUAACCUAAAUUUUAAAAUUGGAGAUUUUUACAAUUCAAUCAAUCUUCAAGCGGUUAAAUAUUCUCAAAUACAGAUAGUGUUUCUUGGAAUUUCAAGGGAACAAAUUGGCGAAGACUACAAUAAAGAUGCUUGAUAGUGCUAUGUGGGGCUCAUAUAGAGAGGUAAGGAAUUGAAUUUCACAUCCUGGGUAAGCUAUAAGGAUUCCUUUGCCAACUUUGAUCUUUCAUUUAUUGGGAUUUUAAUUUUUGCUCUUUCUAAUUCUCCUCUUUCUCUCUCUGUUGACUGUUGUUGGAUUGCAAUUGUUUGAACGGUAAAUGAUAAUCAAAUCUUUGCUACUUCUUCAUUUCUAUAAUCUUUUUUCCUGCAAUCUCAGUAUAAUACAACUGCCUCGCCGAACUUGUUCUCUUGGCUAUUGAAAAUCUUAGUCCUAUUUGCUAUAUCUCACCAGUUAUCUUUGAUUUUUGCAGGUUUAAUGACUUUUGAUGAGGAAAAAAUAUUGUUGGGAUGUUAGUGGCUAAAUUUAUUCUCCCAAAUCCCAUUCCAUUGCCUCAUUGUGGUAUGAUAUGGAUGAGUUGUUGUGACUUUAAGCUUACCCCUCCUCUUUUCCUCCCUUUUUUUGUGGCUAUAUUUCUUUUAUGUGCUUCCAUUUUUGGGUGCAUGUCGGUUCACUUUGUCUUCUUUAACAAUUGCGCGUAUGAUUUUUUUCACGGUUUGUAACUUUGAUGAUCUGGC